RNAcentral lists this transfer RNA (72 nucleotides) under Ovis aries (sheep). It matches the Rfam family "tRNA". From Rfam's summary of the family: Transfer RNA (tRNA) molecules are approximately 80 nucleotides in length. Their secondary structure includes four short double-helical elements and three loops (D, anti-codon, and T loops). Further hydrogen bonds mediate the characteristic L-shaped molecular structure. tRNAs have two regions of fundamental functional importance: the anti-codon, which is responsible for specific mRNA codon recognition, and the 3' end, to which the tRNAs corresponding amino acid is attached (by aminoacyl-tRNA synthetases). tRNAs cope with the degeneracy of the genetic code in two manners: having more than one tRNA (with a specific anti-codon) for a particular amino acid; and 'wobble' base-pairing, i.e. permitting non-standard base-pairing at the 3rd anti-codon position. The record is from Rfam by way of RNAcentral. Lineage: Eukaryota; Metazoa; Chordata; Mammalia; Artiodactyla; Bovidae.
CCCUUGGUAGCUCAGCUGGUAAAGAAUCUGCCUGCAAUGCAGGAGACCCUGAUUCAAUUCCUGGAUCAGGGA